UCCGAGUUGACCCCGGCAGUCUUCUACGAGUCCCCGGCAUUAUCCGCUGGCAACAUAGGACGAGGGUUGCGCUCGUUGCGGGACUUAACCCAACAUCUCACGACACGAGCUGACGACAACCAUGCACCACCUGUGCACGGCCCUUACGGACCCCCCAUCUCUGGGAGAUUUCCGUGCAUGUCAAGCCUAGGUAAGGUUCUUCGCGUUGCAUCGAAUUAAACCACACGCUCCGCUGCUUGUGCGGGCCCCCGUCAAUUCCUUUGAGUUUUAACCUUGCGGCCGUACUCCCCAGGCGGUCGACUUCACGCGUUAGCUUCGUUACUGAGAGUGUCAAACCCCCAACAACCAGUCGACAUCGUUUAGGGCGUGGACUAC
RNAcentral lists this unclassified non-coding RNA (375 nucleotides) under uncultured bacterium. RNAcentral describes it as "contains 16S-23S intergenic spacer region". The record is from RNAcentral.